Long non-coding RNA from Sander lucioperca (pikeperch), 165 nucleotides. RefSeq lists it as uncharacterized. The transcript is spliced from 3 exons. NCBI's taxonomy places the organism in Eukaryota, Metazoa, Chordata, Actinopteri, Perciformes, Percidae. The record is from RefSeq and is a predicted model, not a curated record.
AGACUUGGAGAGACGCUGUGCUCGCAUGAACUUGGGAGAGAAACUGCAACAAAAGUAUAGAUCUCAUCACGACAGUAUCAAUCCGAUACCGAUACUCAUCUUGGUAUCGAUACUAUCGAUAUUUAGAUCGAUACGCCCAGCCCUAGUAUGUAGCCGAUCUCCGCA